Molecule: ribosomal RNA, 442 nt
Filed under: uncultured bacterium
Lineage: Bacteria
Description: partial 16S ribosomal RNA
Rfam family: Bacterial small subunit ribosomal RNA
Source: RNAcentral
CCUACGGGUGGCAGCAGUGGGGAAUAUUGGGCAAUGGGCGCAAGCCUGACCCAGCAACGCCGCGUGAAGGAAGAAGGCUUUCGGGUUGUAAACUUCUUUUAAGAGGGAAGAGUAGAAGACGGUACCUCUUGAAUAAGCCACGGCUAACUACGUGCCAGCAGCCGCGGUAAUACGUAGGUGGCAAGCGUUGUCCGGAUUUACUGGGUGUAAAGGGCGUGCAGCCGGGCUGACAAGUCAGAUGUGAAAUCCCGCGGCUUAACCGCGGAACUGCAUUUGAAACUGUCAGUCUUGAGUACCGGAGAGGUCGUCGGAAUUCCUUGUGUAGCGGUGAAAUGCGUAGAUAUAAGGAGGAACACCAGUGGCGAAGGCGGAUGGCUGGACAGCAACUGACGGUGAGGCGCGAAAGCGUGGGGAGCAAACAGGAUUAGAUACCCUUGUAGUC